UUAAGCGACUAAGUGUACACGGUGGAUGCCCUGGCAGUCAGAGGCGAUGAAGGACGUGCUAAUCUGCGAUAAGCGUCGGUGAGGUGAUAUGAACCGUUAUAACCGGCGAUUUCCGAAUGGGGAAACCCAGUGUGUUUCGACACACUAUCAUUAACUGAAUCCAUAGGUUAAUGAGGCGAACCGGGGGAACUGAAACAUCUAAGUACCCCGAGGAAAAGAAAUCAACCGAGAUUCCCCCAGUAGCGGCGAGCGAACGGGGAGGAGCCCAGAGCCUGAAUCAGUGUGUGUGUUAGUGGAAGCGUCUGGAAAGGCGCGCGAUACAGGGUGACAGCCCCGUACACAAAAAUGCACAUAUUGUGAGCUCGAUGAGUAGGGCGGGACACGUGGUAUCCUGUCUGAAUAUGGGGGGACCAUCCUCCAAGGCUAAAUACUCCUGACUGACCGAUAGUGAACCAGUACCGUGAGGGAAAGGCGAAAAGAACCCCGGCGAGGGGAGUGAAAAAGAACCUGAAACCGUGUACGUACAAGCAGUGGGAGCCUCUUAAUGGGGUGACUGCGUACCUUUUGUAUAAUGGGUCAGCGACUUAUAUUCUGUAGCAAGGUUAACCGAAUAGGGGAGCCGAAGGGAAACCGAGUCUUAACUGGGCGUUAAGUUGCAGGGUAUAGACCCGAAACCCGGUGAUCUAGCCAUGGGCAGGUUGAAGGUUGGGUAACACUAACUGGAGGACCGAACCGACUAAUGUUGAAAAAUUAGCGGAUGACUUGUGGCUGGGGGUGAAAGGCCAAUCAAACCGGGAGAUAGCUGGUUCUCCCCGAAAGCUAUUUAGGUAGCGCCUCGUGAAUUCAUCUCCGGGGGUAGAGCACUGUUUCGGCAAGGGGGUCAUCCCGACUUACCAACCCGAUGCAAACUGCGAAUACCGGAGAAUGUUAUCACGGGAGACACACGGCGGGUGCUAACGUCCGUCGUGAAGAGGGAAACAACCCAGACCGCCAGCUAAGGUCCCAAAGUCAUGGUUAAGUGGGAAACGAUGUGGGAAGGCCCAGACAGCCAGGAUGUUGGCUUAGAAGCAGCCAUCAUUUAAAGAAAGCGUAAUAGCUCACUGGUCGAGUCGGCCUGCGCGGAAGAUGUAACGGGGCUAAACCAUGCACCGAAGCUGCGGCAGCGACACUAUGUGUUGUUGGGUAGGGGAGCGUUCUGUAAGCCUGUGAAGGUGGCCUGUGAGGGUUGCUGGAGGUAUCAGAAGUGCGAAUGCUGACAUAAGUAACGAUAAAGCGGGUGAAAAGCCCGCUCGCCGGAAGACCAAGGGUUCCUGUCCAACGUUAAUCGGGGCAGGGUGAGUCGACCCCUAAGGCGAGGCCGAAAGGCGUAGUCGAUGGGAAACAGGUUAAUAUUCCUGUACUUGGUGUUACUGCGAAGGGGGGACGGAGAAGGCUAUGUUGGCCGGGCGACGGUUGUCCCGGUUUAAGCGUGUAGGCUGGUUUUCCAGGCAAAUCCGGAAAACCAAGGCUGAGGCGUGAUGACGAGGCACUACGGUGCUGAAGCGACAAAUGCCCUGCUUCCAGGAAAAGCCUCUAAGCAUCAGGUAACAUCAAAUCGUACCCCAAACCGACACAGGUGGUCAGGUAGAGAAUACCAAGGCGCUUGAGAGAACUCGGGUGAAGGAACUAGGCAAAAUGGUGCCGUAACUUCGGGAGAAGGCACGCUGAUAUGUAGGUGAAGCGACUUGCUCGUGGAGCUGAAAUCAGUCGAAGAUACCAGCUGGCUGCAACUGUUUAUUAAAAACACAGCACUGUGCAAACACGAAAGUGGACGUAUACGGUGUGACGCCUGCCCGGUGCCGGAAGGUUAAUUGAUGGGGUUAGCGGUAACGCGAAGCUCUUGAUCGAAGCCCCGGUAAACGGCGGCCGUAACUAUAACGGUCCUAAGGUAGCGAAAUUCCUUGUCGGGUAAGUUCCGACCUGCACGAAUGGCGUAAUGAUGGCCAGGCUGUCUCCACCCGAGACUCAGUGAAAUUGAACUCGCUGUGAAGAUGCAGUGUACCCGCGGCAAGACGGAAAGACCCCGUGAACCUUUACUAUAGCUUGACACUGAACAUUGAGCCUUGAUGUGUAGGAUAGGUGGGAGGCUUUGAAGUGUGGACGCCAGUCUGCAUGGAGCCGACCUUGAAAUACCACCCUUUAAUGUUUGAUGUUCUAACGUGGGCCCCUAAUCGGGGUUGCGGACAGUGUCUGGUGGGUAGUUUGACUGGGGCGGUCUCCUCCUAAAGAGUAACGGAGGAGCACGAAGGUUGGCUAAUCCUGGUCGGACAUCAGGAGGUUAGUGCAAUGGCAUAAGCCAGCUUGACUGCGAGCGUGACGGCGCGAGCAGGUGCGAAAGCAGGUCAUAGUGAUCCGGUGGUUCUGAAUGGAAGGGCCAUCGCUCAACGGAUAAAAGGUACUCCGGGGAUAACAGGCUGAUACCGCCCAAGAGUUCAUAUCGACGGCGGUGUUUGGCACCUCGAUGUCGGCUCAUCACAUCCUGGGGCUGAAGUAGGUCCCAAGGGUAUGGCUGUUCGCCAUUUAAAGUGGUACGCGAGCUGGGUUUAGAACGUCGUGAGACAGUUCGGUCCCUAUCUGCCGUGGGCGCUGGAGAACUGAGGGGGGCUGCUCCUAGUACGAGAGGACCGGAGUGGACGCAUCACUGGUGUUCGGGUUGUCAUGCCAAUGGCACUGCCCGGUAGCUAAAUGCGGAAGAGAUAAGUGCUGAAAGCAUCUAAGCACGAAACUUGCCCCGAGAUGAGUUCUCCCUGAGACUUAGAGUCUCCUGAAGGAACGUUGAAGACGACGACGUUGAUAGGCCGGGUGUGUAAGCGCAGCGAUGCGUUGAGCUAACCGGUACUAAUGAACCGUGAGGCUUAACCUU
This 2902-nucleotide ribosomal RNA is filed under the name Escherichia coli HVH 55 (4-2646161). RNAcentral describes it as "bacterial LSU rRNA". It matches the Rfam family "Bacterial large subunit ribosomal RNA". The record is from RNAcentral. Lineage: Bacteria; Pseudomonadati; Pseudomonadota; Gammaproteobacteria; Enterobacterales; Enterobacteriaceae.